GAGAUGACCUUCCAUCUUCACAAGGUAAUCUUUCUCUAUACCAUAUUUACAUUAAAUUCUUCUCUGUUUGGAUCUUAUGUAAAAUAUAAAAUAGGUUACCCUGUCAAGUGAUGUUAUAUUUACUCUGUCAAGUGAUGUUAUAUUCCUUCUGUUGUUAUGUGCAACUGAGGGAUCUGAUGGGUAAAUGAUUAACACUAUUGCUUAUAAAUGUACUCUCUGCUUACCUGCCAGGCCAAUUGAAAUUGAACUUUCUCACUCAAAGUUGUUACUCACCCUCUGGUUUUCCAACUAUUUAAAGGUGCUUGUAAUGAUUGUGUUUGUGCUUGUGCUUGUUAAUUGUGCAAAAGUAUAUAACUUUCCUCAAUGCACCUUUAUUAUAACUUCCCAAAAUGGAAAGGCCUAACAGUUUGGGUUGGAGGAAUAAUUAUCUGCUAACUUUCCCUUGCGCUGUCUUGUGUGAAAAAAGUGUACCUUGAUUGACGUCUGUGCCAUUCUUUGAUCUUCUCCUAUCUCAUUCUCGUUUUCUCUCUCUAAGUAUUUGUAAACCUUAUUCUCAAUUCCUUGAGUUGAAGAUGAGAGAACUUGUUUUAGUUGUGUUCAUUUACUAAUAGUGAGCUAUAUGAUAAAACUAUCAAAAGGCUUGUGCCACAUAGUUGAAUCAAAUUAAGUAUAGCAUUCUUCUUGUUGUCAUCUGGUUGGCUCAUAUCUGUGUUUUGACUUUUGAGUUUAAUUUUACAAUUUUUUUUUUGAACAUGUACAAGUUUUUCAUAAAUAGGGCAUUUUGUUUUCAGAGUUGAAUUGAAUCAAGAUAAUAAAAAAUGGAGAAAUUGAAGUUGAGCUCUGAAUAUCUGAAAAUUUUGGAUUGAAAUUGGUAAAACUGCAUUAUUCACCUAACAAAUUAUUGCAGACUAAUUAAUUGCUCAGGAGAGGUCAAUUGUACCUAUAUCCUGUUGGUUAUCACUCUUUAAUGUGUAUGUAUUAUUCAUCUAACAUUUAGUUACAGUCUUAAAUCUGCCAAAGCAGUAUUAUGAUGAAUGAUUUUGGUGGUGCAAAUGCCUCACCCUAUUCCUGUUGGAGUAGGAUGCGAGUUAGGUAAUUCAAAGCAGUUUAUUUCAGGCUUAGUUUAGGGCCAGGCCUAAAUGCUUCAUGUGCGGUGGGGCAGCUUCACUGAAACCCUCUCUCCCCAGGCUGACUAAAAGUAGCAUUCUGGCAUUACCCACUGUUUCUGAUUCUCUGUGCAUUUUCUGCAUUCUAUGUUUCUCGUUGUAGUUUACCAUUUGCCCUAAGACGUAUAAAAAGAAUGAUUCUGUAUAUACAUCUACUGUGUUUCUGUGAGAGCUAGUGAGAAUUUUUUUUUUAUGUGUAAUGGUGAAGAAGUAAUGUUGUUAUGGUUGUUAUAGAACUCUGUAUCUUUUAUUGUUUCUAAUGUAUCCAUAUUAUAAUUUAAUGCA
Molecule: unclassified non-coding RNA, 1451 nt
Filed under: Hevea brasiliensis (rubber tree)
Lineage: Eukaryota; Viridiplantae; Streptophyta; Magnoliopsida; Malpighiales; Euphorbiaceae
Source: RNAcentral